This is a small nuclear RNA of Choloepus didactylus (southern two-toed sloth), 109 nucleotides long. The record is from RefSeq and is a predicted model, not a curated record. Lineage: Eukaryota; Metazoa; Chordata; Mammalia; Pilosa; Megalonychidae.
UUGUCCUCCCUUCAGCAGCAAAUAUACUAAAAUUGGAAUGAUACAGAGAAGAUUAGUAUGGCCCCUUCUCAAGGAAGAUGUGCAAAUUCAUGAAGCAUUCCAUAUUAUU